Molecule: long non-coding RNA, 236 nt
Filed under: Lathyrus oleraceus (garden pea)
Lineage: Eukaryota; Viridiplantae; Streptophyta; Magnoliopsida; Fabales; Fabaceae
Description: Pisum sativum (pea) long non-coding RNA (PSAT_LNC024863)
Source: RNAcentral
AAGACUCGCAAGUCCUGCACUUAGACGUAAUGUCUUCAGAAUUUAUAGAUUAACAUUUAAUAGUUUUAUGUCGAGCUUGCGACAUUAAACAAAGCGCUUCGUGGGAGACAACCCACAAAUUUUUAUUUUUAUUUCUUCUUUGAUUAUUCCCUUCUUUUUUAUUUUAUUUAGUUUUCAUUCUCCGUAUUCUUUAUUUUAAUUAAAUUUUUCUUCUUUUCUUCUUUCGGCAUUUGGCC